GGGAUGGCUUAGUCUGUUAAAGUGCUCGCCUUAUAAGCAUGAAGCCCUGAGUUCAAUCCUCAGAACCCA
Molecule: transfer RNA, 69 nt
Filed under: Neotoma lepida (desert woodrat)
Lineage: Eukaryota; Metazoa; Chordata; Mammalia; Rodentia; Cricetidae
Rfam family: tRNA
About the family: Transfer RNA (tRNA) molecules are approximately 80 nucleotides in length.
Source: Rfam by way of RNAcentral